Molecule: ribosomal RNA, 542 nt
Filed under: uncultured bacterium
Lineage: Bacteria
Description: partial 16S ribosomal RNA
Rfam family: Bacterial small subunit ribosomal RNA
Source: RNAcentral
UGGGGAAUUUUGGACAAUGGGCGAAAGCCUGAUCCAGCAAUGCCGCGUGUGUGAAGAAGGCCUUCGGGUUGUAAAGCACUUUUGUCCGGAAAGAAAUCCUUGGCUCUAAUACAGUCGGGGGAUGACGGUACCGGAAGAAUAAGCACCGGCUAACUACGUGCCAGCAGCCGCGGUAAUACGUAGGGUGCAAGCGUUAAUCGGAAUUACUGGGCGUAAAGCGUGCGCAGGCGGUUUGCUAAGACCGGAUGUGAAAUCCCCGGGCUCAACCUGGGAACUGCAUUGGUGACUGGCAGGCUAGAGUAUGGCAGGAGGGGGGUAGAAUUCCACGUGUAGCAGUGAAAUGCGUAGAGAUGUGGAGGAAUACCGAUGGCGAAGGCAGCCCCCUGGGGCCAAUACUGACGCUCAUGCACGAAAAGCGUGGGGGAGCAAAACAGGAUUAGAUACCCCUGGUAGUCCACGCCCUAAACGAUGUCAACUAGUUGUUGGGGAUUCAUUUCCUUAGUAACGUAGCUAACGCGUGAAGUUGACCGCCUGGGGAGUAC